AUUGAACGCUGGCGGCAGGCCUAACACAUGCAAGUCGAGCGAGCGGCGGACGGGUGAGUAAUGUCUGGGAAACUGCCUGAUGGAGGGGGAUAACUACUGGAAACGGUAGCUCAUACCGCAUCCCAUCAGAUGUUCCCAGGUGGGCUUCGCUAGUUGGUGGGGUAACGGCUCACCUGGGCGACGAUCCCUAGCGGGUCUGAGAGGAUGACCCGCCACACUGGAACGGAGACACGGUCCAGACUCCUACGGGAGGCAGCAGUGGGGAAUAUUGCACAAUGGGCGAAAGCCUGAUGCAGCCAUGCCGCGUGGGUGAAGAAGGCCUUCGGGUUGUAAAGCACUGUCAGCGGGGAGGCGUUACCCGCAGAAGAAGCACCGGCUAACUCCGUGCCAGCAGCCGCGGUAAUUC
RNAcentral lists this ribosomal RNA (406 nucleotides) under uncultured bacterium. Its description in RNAcentral is "partial 16S ribosomal RNA". It matches the Rfam family "Bacterial small subunit ribosomal RNA", at positions 29 to 526 of the family's 1533-position model. The record is from RNAcentral.